AGGCAGGGAGCCUGCCCUGCCCCCGGUGCGCGCCGGGCCAGAGCCGCUCUAGGAACCAGCUCUAACAAAAAUUCAGUCCGAGCAUUGGGAAUCUAUCACAACUAGCUUGUACAUCCUCAAAUCUUAAUAUAGCAAGAAAGAAGUCAUCUACCUCUCCCCUCCCUACAUCAAAUAAUGCUCAAGUGAAAGGGCAAGAUAGAAUAUUUGCAGAAUGACAGAUGAUCUAAAGCUCCAAUCCUAUGUUAACUUCAAUGGGAGCACUGGAUGUGCAGGAGAUGCAAAAUCACAUCUUGAGUUAGGAAUUAAAAUAAAAAUUCAUCAUAACUUGACAGCAUAUAAAAAAAAUUAAGGUCUGGAUCACCCUAUAUCAGUGGUUCCCAAACUUUAACAACCUGUGAAUCCCUUUAACUAAAAUGUCCAGUCUCGCGAACCCGCUCCUAAAAAUGAAUAUUUCCAGGGAUUUUCUCCUUUACCUGAGUAUAAAUUAUAAAAGCAGUGAUCUUGGAAAUAUAAAAUUUGUUUUUAU
Chelonia mydas (Green sea turtle) is the source of this 526-nucleotide long non-coding RNA. RefSeq lists it as uncharacterized. The record is from RefSeq and is a predicted model, not a curated record. Lineage: Eukaryota; Metazoa; Chordata; Testudines; Cheloniidae. The transcript is spliced from 3 exons.